Molecule: long non-coding RNA, 421 nt
Organism: Triticum dicoccoides
Lineage: Eukaryota; Viridiplantae; Streptophyta; Magnoliopsida; Poales; Poaceae
Exons: 2
Source: RefSeq, a predicted model, not a curated record
CCGCCACCGAGGGGAGGAGCCCUGCCGCCACCGAGAGGAGGAACCUCGCUGCCAGAUCUUCAACGCCCCACCGCCGCGAGAACGUCGACGUCCUCCUCCGUCGGUUCGAGGUGGAGUUUUGCAUCUGCUUGCUGCUCACCAUCAACGUCUACACUUUGGCAUCAUCUACCUGGUCUACGCGCUCUUUUUCUCUGUCUAUCUCGACUCAGAGGACCAUCACAAAGAAUAUCACACCCUUGCUUAGCCUGUUGUCGGCUUUGUGAUAACGAUUCGCUAACUAACACCCUCUACAUUCAUCUGGUCCAUGGAGUGUUUUUUUUGUUUAUGUGAACCGUGAACUUGUAGCUGAUUGUAUGAGAUUAUUUGGAUACUUUGCAUGAUCUGGUAGCAACUACCGGUGAAAUUCUUUAGCAUUUUUUUC